RNAcentral lists this ribosomal RNA (334 nucleotides) under uncultured bacterium. RNAcentral's name for it is "bacterial SSU rRNA". It matches the Rfam family "Bacterial small subunit ribosomal RNA", at positions 18 to 344 of the family's 1533-position model. The record is from RNAcentral.
CAUGGCUCAGGAUGAACGCUAGCUACAGGCUUAACACAUGCAAGUCGAGGGGCAGCAUGUUGGUUGCUUGCAACCAAUGAUGGCGACCGGCGCACGGGUGAGUAACGCGUAUCCAACCUACCCAAUACUCAGGCAUAACCCGUUGAAAGACGGACUAAUUCCUGAUGGUAUGUAUUUCUCUCAUGAGUUAUACAUUAAAGAAUUUCGGUAUUGGAUGGGGAUGCGUCUGAUUAGUUUGUUGGUGGGGUAACGGCUCACCAAGACUUCGAUCAGUAGGGGUUCUGAGAGGAAGGUCCCCCACAUUGGAACUGAGACACGGUGGGGGGGGCUACGG